Molecule: ribosomal RNA, 301 nt
Filed under: uncultured bacterium
Lineage: Bacteria
Description: partial 16S ribosomal RNA
Rfam family: Bacterial small subunit ribosomal RNA
Source: RNAcentral
CAGUAGCCGCGGUAAUACGAAGGGGGCUAGCGUUGCUCGGAAUGACUGGGCGUAAAGGGCGCGUAGGCGGAUUGUUUAGUUAGGCGUGAAAUUCCUGGGCUUAACCUGGGGACUGCGCUUAAUACAGGCAGUCUAGAGUGAGGAAGAGGGUUGUGGAAUUCCCAGUGUAGAGGUGAAAUUCGUAGAUAUUGGGAAGAACACCGGUGGCGAAGGCGGCAACCUGGUCCUUGACUGACGCUGAGGCGCGAAAGCGUGGGGAGCGAACAGGAUUAGAUACCCCCGUAGUCCCUGUCUCUUAUAC